GACAGAGGCCUCGAGCGUUAGGCGGAAUCACUGGGCUUAAAGCGUGUGUAGGCGGACUUCUAAGUACCUUGUGAAAUCCCACGGCUCAACCGUGGAACUGCUUGGUAUACUGGUUGUCUUGAGCCACUUAGGGGCUACCGGAACAAAUGGUGGAGCGGUGAAAUGCGUAGAUAUCAUUUGGAACGCCAAUGGUGAAAACAGGUAGCUGGGAGUGUGCUGACGCUGAGACACGAAAGCCAGGGGAGCGAACGGG
RNAcentral lists this ribosomal RNA (253 nucleotides) under uncultured bacterium. RNAcentral describes it as "partial 16S ribosomal RNA". It matches the Rfam family "Bacterial small subunit ribosomal RNA", at positions 524 to 776 of the family's 1533-position model. The record is from RNAcentral.